UACGAAGGGGGCUAGCGUUGUUCGGAAUUACUGGGCGUAAAGCGUGCGCAGGCGGCUCAUCAAGUCAGAGGUGAAAGCCCAGGGCUCAACCCUGGAACUGCCUUUAAUACUGGCAAUCUCGAGUCCGGAAGAGGUAAGUGGAACUCCUAGUGUAGAGGUGGAAUUCGUAGAUAUUAGGAAGAACACCAGUGGCGAAGGCGGCUUACUGGUCCGGUACUGACGCUGAGGUGCGAAAGCGUGGGGAGCAAACAGG
This 253-nucleotide ribosomal RNA is filed under the name uncultured bacterium. RNAcentral's name for it is "partial 16S ribosomal RNA". It matches the Rfam family "Bacterial small subunit ribosomal RNA", at positions 524 to 776 of the family's 1533-position model. The record is from RNAcentral.